AUACGGAGGAUCCGAGCGUUAUCCGGAUUUAUUGGGUUUAAAGGGUGCGCAGGCGGCCAUUUAAGUCAGCGGUUAAAUCGUGGGGCUCAACCCCAUUCUGCCGUUGAUACUGGGUGGCUUGAUUGCGGUCGAGGUUGGCGGAAUUCGUUGUGUAGCGGUGAAAUGCAUAGAUAUGACGAAGAACACCGAUUGCGUAGGCAGCUGACCAGACCGCAAAUGACGCUCAUGCACGAAAGUGCGGGGAUCGAACAGGAUUAGAUACCCUGGUAGUCCGCACAGUAAACGAUGAAUACUUGUUUUCGGCGAUAUAAUGUCGGAGGCAAAGCGAAAGCGAUAAGUAUUCCACCUAGGGAGUACGCCGGCAACGGUGAAACUCAAAGGAAUUGACGGGG
RNAcentral lists this ribosomal RNA (392 nucleotides) under uncultured bacterium. RNAcentral's name for it is "partial 16S ribosomal RNA". It matches the Rfam family "Bacterial small subunit ribosomal RNA", at positions 523 to 918 of the family's 1533-position model. The record is from RNAcentral.